Cinara cedri is the source of this 203-nucleotide non-coding RNA. The record is from the annotation of a GenBank genome assembly. Lineage: Eukaryota; Metazoa; Arthropoda; Insecta; Hemiptera; Aphididae.
CUUUUCAAUUGUAAAAUAAAAACAAUUUUGAUACUACAAAUUAUUGUGUUCUUUUAAUUAAUUUCGGUUUUUAUGGGCAGCCGCUUAUUGUGGGCAAACAGGGCUGGUCCCAACGUGCUCACAUUAAGCGGAAUCCACUGUAUUUCAGUUGAAUUUAAAACCCUAGUGUGCACCGGUCAUUUUGAAUACAUCAAUAACGUGAG